GGUACCUGCAAUCCUGGAGGUGUCAGCAGCCGCGGUAAAACGUAGGUCACAAGCGUUGUCCGGAAUUACUGGGUGUAAAGGGAGCGCAGGCGGGAUCGCAAGUCAGAUGUGAAAACUAUGGGCUUAACCCAUAAACUGCAUUUGAAACUGUGGUUCUUGAGUGAAGUAGAGGUAGGCGGAAUUCCCGGUGUAGCGGUGGAAUGCGUAGAUAUCGGGAGGAACACCAGUGGCGAAGGCGGCCUACUGGGCACCAACUGACGCUGAGGCUCGAAAGUGUGGGUAGCAAACAGGAUUAGAAACCCCAGUAGUCCAGAAGUGUUAGUAACCGCG
This 330-nucleotide ribosomal RNA is filed under the name Natronogracilivirga saccharolytica. Its description in RNAcentral is "Bacterial small subunit ribosomal RNA". It matches the Rfam family "Bacterial small subunit ribosomal RNA", at positions 488 to 815 of the family's 1533-position model. Lineage: Bacteria; Pseudomonadati; Balneolota; Balneolia; Balneolales; Cyclonatronaceae. The record is from Rfam by way of RNAcentral.